RNAcentral lists this ribosomal RNA (465 nucleotides) under uncultured bacterium. Its description in RNAcentral is "partial 16S ribosomal RNA". It matches the Rfam family "Bacterial small subunit ribosomal RNA", at positions 28 to 507 of the family's 1533-position model. The record is from RNAcentral.
GACGAACGCUGGCGGCGUGCUUAACACAUGCAAGUCGAACGGAAAGGCCCUGCUUGCAGGGUACUCGAGUGGCGAACGGGUGAGUAACACGUGGGUGAUCUGCCCUGCACUUCGGGAUAAGCCUGGGAAACUGGGUCUAAUACCGGAUAGGAGCCAUUUUUAGUGUGAUGGUUGGAAAGUUUUUUCGGUGUAGGAUGAGCUCGCGGCCUAUCAGCUUGUUGGUGGGGUAAUGGCCUACCAAGGCGGCGACGGGUAGCCGGCCUGAGAGGGUGGACGGCCACCUUGGGACUGAGAUACGGCCCAGACUCCUACGGGAGGCAGCAGUGGGGAAUAUUGCCCAAUGGGCGCAAGCCUGAUGCAGCGACGCCGCGUGGGGGAUGACGGCCUUCGGGUUGUAAACUCCUUUCGCUAGGGACGAAGCUUUUUGUGACGGUACCUAGAUAAGAAGCACCGGCUAACUACGUG